RNAcentral lists this ribosomal RNA (2170 nucleotides) under human gut metagenome. RNAcentral describes it as "bacterial LSU rRNA". It matches the Rfam family "Bacterial large subunit ribosomal RNA", at positions 1 to 1997 of the family's 2925-position model. The record is from RNAcentral.
GUAAGUUGUUGAGAGCGUAUGGUGGAUGCCUUGGCAUCAGGAGCCGAUGAAGGACGUGGGAAUCUGCGAUAAGCCUGGGGGAGUUGAUAACCGGACGGUGAUCCCAGGAUGUCCGAAUGGGGGAACCCCGCAUGCUGUGAGGUGUGUGACCUGACACUGAAUAUAUAGGUGUUAUGGAGGGAACGAGGGGAAGUGAAACAUCUCAGUACCCUCAGGAAGAGAAAACAAUAGUGAUUCCGUUAGUAGUGGCGAGCGAACGCGGAUGGGGCUAAACCUGUAUCGUGUGAUACCCGGCAGGGGUUGCGGUAUGGGGGUUGUGGGUGUAUGUGUCCAGUUACUGCCGUGGCUGGCUGGUGAGGUGCGGGCGUGGAGACGAAGCAGUGUGAGUGCUGCACCGUAGAGGGUGUGAGUCCCGUAGUCGUAUUAUGUUCCGCCGCUAGAUCGUAUGACCCGAGUAGCACGGGGCUCGUGGAAUCUCGUGUGAAUCUGCCAGGACCACCUGGUAAGCCUGAAUACUACCUGAUGACCGAUAGCGGAUCAGUACCGUGAGGGAAUGGUGAAAAGUACCCCGGGAGGGGAGUGAAAUAGUGCCUGAAACCAUGCGCUUACAAACCGUCAAAGCCUUAUUAAGGUGAUGGCGUGCCUUUUGAAGAAUGAGCCUGCGAGUUAGUGCUGUGUCGCGAGGUUAACCCGUGUGGGGUAGUCGUAGCGAAAGCGAGUCUGAAUAGGGCGUUUCAGUGGCACGGUCUAGACCCGAAGCGGGGUGAUCUACCCAUGGCCAGGUUGAAGCGUGUGUAAGAGCACGUGGAGGACCGAACCCACCUAGGUUGAAAACUGGGGGGAUGAGCUGUGGGUAGGGGUGAAAGGCCAAUCAAACUCCGUGAUAGCUGGUUCUCCCCGAAAUGCAUUUAGGUGCAGCGUUACGUGUUUCUUUACCGUGGUAGAGCUACUGGAUGGCUGAUGGGCCCUACAAGGUUACUGACGUCAACCAAACUCCGAAUGCGGUGAAGUGAGAGCGUAGCAGUGAGACUGUGAGGGAUAAGCUUCAUGAGUCGAGAGGGAAACAGCCCAGAACAUCAGCUAAGGCCCCUAAGCGUGUGCUAAGUGGGAAAGGAUGUGGAGUUGCUGAGACAACCAGGAGGUUGGCUUAGAAGCAGCCACCCUUGAAAGAGUGCGUAAUAGCUCACUGGUCAAGUGAUUCCGCGCCGACAAUGUAGCGGGGCUCAAGUACACCGCCGAAGCUGUGUCACUCCACAUAUUGUGGGGUGGGUAGGGGAGCGUCGGGCAUGCGGUGAAGCCUGGGUGGAAACCAUCAGGUGGAGCGUGUUCGAGUGAGAAUGCAGGCAUGAGUAGCGAAUGGCGGGUGAGAAACCCGUCCGCCGAAUGAUCAAGGGUUCCAGGGUCAAGUUUUUCUUCCCUGGGUGAGUCGGGACCUAAGGCGAGGCCGACAGGCGUAGUCGAUGGACAACGGGUUGAUAUUCCCGUACCGGCGAAGAACCGCCCAUAUCGAAGCGAUGAUGCUAACCACCCCAAGCACGCUUGAUCGACUACCUAGUAGUUGACUGGUGUGUGCGGCGUGGGACCCGAUUUGUGGAGGUAAACGUGUUAACAGGUGUGACGCAGAGAGGUAGCCGGGCCAGGCAAUGGAAUCGACCUGGUCUAAGAGUGUAGGCCGGUGUAUAGGCAAAUCCGUACACCACACGGCUGAGACUUGAUGGGCGCCCACGAUUGGUGGGUGAUCCGGUGAUCCUGUACUGCCUAGAAAAACAUCGACGUGAGGUUCUAGCUGCCCGUACCCGAAACCGACACAGGUGAUCUGGUAGAGAAUACCGAGGCGAACGAGAGAAUCAUGGUUAAGGAACUCGGCAAAAUGCCCCCGUAACUUCGGAAGAAGGGGGGCCUGCCCCGUGACCCCUACUUGCUGGGGUGAGCGGGUGUGGGCCGCAGAGACCAGAGGGAAGCGACUGUUUACUAAAAACAUAGGUCCGUGCGAAGUCGCAAGACGAUGUAUACGGACUGACUCCUGCCCGGUGCUGGAAGGUUAAGAGGACCUGUUAGAACCCUUUGUGGUUCGAAGCGGAGAAUUUAAGCCCCAGUAAACGGCGGUGGUAACUAUAACCAUCCUAAGGUAGCGAAAUUCCUUGUCGGGUAAGUUCCGACCUGCACGAAU